This 2194-nucleotide unclassified non-coding RNA is filed under the name Hevea brasiliensis (rubber tree). Lineage: Eukaryota; Viridiplantae; Streptophyta; Magnoliopsida; Malpighiales; Euphorbiaceae. The record is from RNAcentral.
UCUGGUGAUCGGGAUUUUUCUAAUUGUCUCCAUCAAUUACGCAUGAGGAGAUAUAAUAUACUUUUGGCACAGCCGCAACAAGCAUCGGCACCUCUUACUGCUGCAGCAAAGACUGUGUGGCUAUGGACAAGCCUUUCAGCUGGAGGAGCCCCACUUACUAGUGGUGAUUCAACACAACUAACUAAUGUUAGUAGUAAAUGCAUUGCUGUAACAUCUGAAAGCAGAUAUUCUGAACCCAUUCAACUUAGCUCUGGAAGCCUUUCUUUGGGAAAUCCCAAUUCAAUUACUAAUGUAAGGGUCGGCGAUACUAAGUUUAAAGGAAAAUAUGUUCAUAAUGCCCUGAAUCAGCCUGGCAUAUCAAGAGCCUUUAGUGCGCCAGUUGGAAUUCAAGAAACUAAGGGCAACAGUUACACUUAUCAAUCAGAAUUCACACAAACAAAGCAGUUUAAGAAAGCUCCACAUGAAUUCUUCAGAGGCAGUGGGCCUGUUGUCUCUGCAAGUUUGUCUACACCCAACUUCCUUCCUGGUAAUUCUGACCUUGCGGGGAGUAAUGACAGCAAUCCCAUAGGUAGUGCUCAGAAUCACUAUACUCAACUUGUGAGGCCUAAUAACUUCUCUAUGCAAAAACUUGCUUUUCCACAUGGUAAUUUUUCAAUGAAUCCCAGACCUGAUGGUAUUAAACUUUCUUUGGCAUCAUCUACAAAUGUGCUUGAUAUUGGUAAACUAGGUAUACCUGAAUGCCAAGCUGCUCCUAAUUUCCAUCAGCAAGCUUUGGAAGAGUUAAAAAAGGUCUCUUUUGAGUCUUCUAAUCUCGGUACCUUAAAUGUACCACGUAAAGGCCAUAUGACACGCAACAAUCAAGCAAACAAAUGGCAUCCUUGUGGUCCUGAAUUUCCACCUCCUCCAUUCUCCCCAGCAUCAGCAGUUGGCAACACUGCCUUCAAUAGUGGUACCUGGGGAACUCAAGGAAGGCCACCACCUUCAGAAUAUAUGCAAGGUUUUAUUGGUAUUAUCUUACUGGCUUUAGACACCCUGAAAGCUGAAAAAGUUAUGCCUACUGAAGCAAACAUAACUGACUGCAUUCGUUUUGGAGAACCAAAGUGCCACAGUACUGAUGUACGAAAAGCACUGGAUAGUGCAAUUGAGCAAAAUAUGGUAGUUGAACAAAGGUUAGGUGCAUUGCAGCUUUAUGUUGGUAAAAAUGACAAACUCUGGAAGUGUGUGAACACUACAGGUGGUAAUCCUGACCAGUACCCAAAAGCAACAUGGGAUGAAAUACAAAAGUUCCUAGCUUCCUCUGCAGGGCGAUCAGCCAUAUUAGUUUCUCAUUGCAGAUAUGAAGCAGCAUUGAUACUGAGAAAAGCAUGCUUGAAAGACUCUGCUUUGGGUGAUGUACUCCAGAUCUUGAAUAUGGUAAUUUUUCCAAAAAAAUGGAUUAUUCAUCAUCCUUCCGGAUGGCAACCGAUUGCCAUUACCCUCCAUGACUAAAACAGAGGCAGAUACCACGCUAGGUGGCCCUAUGAAAUUGAUGGUCACAAAUGCCAGGUACAUAAUAUAUUUGAUCUGAGUGAGUAUUGCAGUUGAGCAGGUUCUGGGGAUGUGGAGGCCAAUUGAAAGAACUACUUUGGAUGAGUAUCUUAAAAGAUACUUUGAUGAUUGAAUCAAGUAGGCUUAGGUUUUAUGUCUUAUUUUAUUCUAUAUUUUGUUGAGCUCUAGUGAGCGUCUAAAGGGAGAAGGAUGUUUAGGGUAUGGUGCAUGUUAUGGACAGUAUGAAAUUCUGUAAAGUUGCAGAUUUGCAAUUAUAGCUUCUGUGCCAUGGGUGAAUGUUGAAGAGGUGGUGCUCAUACCUGAAUUUUCAGGGCUUUUUUUCAUUACAAACUAUCUACUAGAUAAGAUAGAUAGUCAAUGGUGAAUAUCCCCGAAAGGUUUGGUGACAGCCUUUACUUUCGAGGUACAAUGUGUUGUGCAGGAGGCACUGUUGGGGAAGCAAGUUUUUGGGUUUCGGUAAAUCAAUAGUCAGUCUGCAACAAGUUGCAAUUGUAGUGUAGUUUUAAUAUUUUUGGAUUACGGCCAGCACUAUUAAUGUUCUUCAUGUGAGAUGGCCUGUUGAAGAGCAAGUAUGGGAGUAAUUCUGAAGUGAUGAUUACAAGUAGGGAUUUUAGUACCGUACUUCAUAGAUGAGUGGUGGAGCAUA